This 212-nucleotide long non-coding RNA is filed under the name Ricinus communis (castor bean). RNAcentral describes it as "long non-coding RNA (RCOM_LNC001345)". Lineage: Eukaryota; Viridiplantae; Streptophyta; Magnoliopsida; Malpighiales; Euphorbiaceae. The record is from RNAcentral.
AUCAUUAUCAGAAUGAACGCGAAUGAAUCUUUUGGAGGAAAGAGACAACGCCGAGAAUCGAGGCACACCCUAAUGUUCCAAUUCAAGAUUUGCACCAUUGGGAUGCGCAUCAUUCCAUGUUCCUCUAGGCACUAGGACUCCUAAUGACAUAAGGAUUGGUAUAAGGAAUCAUGGGAAUGCAAUUGACAAGCUUGACUGAUGGCAUCAGGGCG